This 282-nucleotide ribosomal RNA is filed under the name Eumunida picta. RNAcentral's name for it is "partial 12S ribosomal RNA". Lineage: Eukaryota; Metazoa; Arthropoda; Malacostraca; Decapoda; Chirostylidae. The record is from RNAcentral.
UAAUCGAUAAACCACGUAAAAUCUUACUUAUCUUAAAUAGUUUGUAUACCAUCAUUAUUAGAUAACUUUUAUAAAAUAAGUUAUUAAAAUUAAUAAAAUUAAAUAUAUUAGAUCAAGGUGCAAUAAAUAGAUAAGAAAAAAUGGGUUACAAUAAAAUUUAUUUAAAACGAAUUAUAAUAUUAAAAAUUAUAUAAAGGAGGAUUUAAUUGUAAUUUUUUUUUAAAAAGAAAAUUUGAUAUUAGCUCUAAAAUAUGUACAUAUCGCCCGUCGCUCGCGGGAAAA